GUGACUAUGUAUGUUAUGCCAGACUGAAGCUGUAUAUACAGAGGUCUCUGAGUCUGGGACUGGCAGUUGCUCCAUGGACCAUCUCGGCUUGUUACUUUGUAAUUAAGUCUGUAAUGAACUCACAAGCUCCGGUAUCUGAGAUAUUAUUGAACCAAUAUUUAUUCGACACAACGCGUCCAUGCACUAUGAUGUAUACAGAAAUGGUUUAAUUCUGAAAUACUACAAGGCAGUAGGCGACACUGAUGAGACAAGGAGAAUGCAGACCUAUACCUGGACCCAAAGUGGACUGGAUCGAUCCGUCGCUGGACAAUCAUCAAGUCCCCAAGUUACCAGUGGUCAGAUGAGUGAGAUUCCUUGCAGCUAUUCUCGUCAAUAUGGGCCAGUCAGACCAGCUGUCCUGUAUAUAGAAGGUGGUCGAUGCCUACCACACAGCGGACAAGUAACCAGUGGAGGUUACUGGAGUGGACCGAACCUGAAUCAACAGGCUUCAAUGGUGUACAUAAACUCAUCUCAGCAUUCACCCACCAAAGAGCAAGUUCUAACGGGUACUAGUCCCCUUUUGACAUCACUCUGGACUAACAAUGCAGCGGCUGCUCAAUCAACUGGUGUUACAUCACAAAGUGGAAACCGUCACACCUUGCCCGGAAGGGUUAACAGUGCAGCUCAGCCCACUUUUCAGCAGGGACAGAGGUUUUUGGGUGUUAAAAAAAACAAUCCACAGAGGCUCGUAAAGGAUGGUCAGGGUCCAACCAUUCACUGCCCCCCUCAUAUUAAUGCACCACUGAAUACAAAUGUUAUGUAUCAUCUAAGCCCAGUGAGUGGCAGUCAGCAGCUUGUACUUGGCAGACAAGAGGGGGCCUCCAGUGGUACCUCUGCUUCUCUUGCAAUGGGUAGGAGCCCCAACCAUGUAAAUCAUAAAUUGACUGUAGUGAGUGGGCAGGAUUCAAGAAGGAUAGCAGUUCAAGCUCCUCAUCAGGGAAACCCACAAACACCAAACUCUUUGCAAAGUGGACAGGAGACAACAUAUAACCAACUGUUGUAUUUACUUCAAAAUCAGAACAAUGACAGCAGGGCUGAGAUGAACAGGGUGCACCAACAUGGAGCACCUGUCCACACUGGCUCAUCAAACCACAGUCAAAUGUAUCCCUCUCAACUUCUCACUGGCAGCAACAACCAGGUCAAUGUAUCAAAUGCUACAGUGGGGCAGUCAAUGCCAAUGCAUAACAUUAGCCAGAAUCCUCAGUACAAUGUUAUGUAUAACCCUCCUUUUAAUAAUUCUCCAAGACAUGUCCCCAUCUGCCCUAAAAGCUUUCCCAUCCCACCACAACAGAACAGACUCCCAUCUUAUUGUGCAAAUAAUAACAGUCAGGCAGGGCCCAUUGGAAAUAAUGCACACUAUGCCUCUCAUCCUAGGCUCCAUAUCCAAGGCACAUGCCCUACCCUACAUUACAAGCCAGACUGCACCAAUGUUCUGGUAGGCAACGCUGGACCAUCUUCAUCUGUGCCAAACUAUAGUAUACAGCCCUCAGUCCAGCACAACCGUGAGACCGCGCCUCCACCAUACCCAGUCCAGCACAAGCGUAAGUCCGCGCCUCCACCAUACCCAGGCCAGCACUCCCAUGGACCCGUGCUGAACAAGACGGAACAUGUGGUUGGGGCAGGAGCGCAUUUUCUGCAACACGUGCCUAACCAAGGUGCAGCCCCUACCCUACAUUACAAGCCAAAAAACACCUAUGUUCAGUUAUCCAACACUGGACCAUCUUCAUCUGUGCCAAACCAUGGUAUGCUGUCUUCAGGCCAGCAAAACUGUGAGUCUGUGACUCCGUCACACCCCAUAAGACAGGGCUAUUACAUAACAGUAACAGAGGACAAAAGUGGAAAUGGAUUUAGAACAGAAAAUUUUAUUUUCAUAGGAGAUAAACCUAAUGAAAGUGCUCUGGUCCUGCAAGGAUCAUCUGCAAGUAAUGCCCCCUCUGUUCUUACGACACAGAAGGCCGUUGCAGUUGUACAACCACUAUCGCAGUGUAUGCAGACAAACACACCUCUAAAUGUGGCUGAUAAAAUCUCCUUGACUACCCAAGGUAUGUCUUUCUUAACAGGUGUCAAAAAUGUGAGCAACCCUGGGGAAGAAUCUUGUGACCAAAGUCCAUCACAAGCCCAAACAACCCUUAUUCUAUCUGCUUCUUUGACAAAUGAAUCUGAACAAGAGGUCCCCAAGAUCAGACUAGAAUCAGGGGCUGAUAAAACAUUGACCAAGGGUUCAGAAACUUCUGAUGUUGAAAUGGCCAAGAUAUAUUCAUGUUUUAAGCCUCAACGGUCAUUAUCAAACGGGUUAUGUGCAGAGAAAUUUGAUUCUCAACCAUUACCUAAUGUGGAAUGUCAAGCCACUCAGAGAAAAGAGUUAGCUGACACAGAAAUGACCACUCAUGUGCAUGUUAACCAAUUGAGUGAGGAAACGAAUGAAAAAGUCGAUUCCGAUGAGGACAUUUUUGAAUUGUCCUCCAUUCCUGUAAUCAAAUGGACCCUUGGUAAAUUGAAGGAGUUGGUAGAUACUGUGCAAAGUCAAAAAUGCACUGCCACACCAGUUGAAAGCAAAAUACUAAGCCUCUAUUGGGACGGAGAUGGGCCAAAGCUUAUGGAUGCUGCAAGAUCUGGUAUGUUACAAAAUAUAAUGGAAGAGGUUAGAUCUGUGUGUGGCGACGAUGACGAUAUGUCAUCACAGUCUGUCAUAUUUUCACAAGCCAGGCGCAAAAACUGGGGUCAAGUUGAAGAGAAAUGUGCCAUUCUUAAACAUGAUUCUGUUCACCCCGAGUUCCCAGCGCAAGAGUCAUCGUGGUUGAACACAAAUAAGCAGCUUGAUGACAUAGACAAGGAGUUUGGAUUCCCAUGGUCACUAAGAUAUGACCAAAAGACUCUUCAUAGAGGAGAUGAACAAACAAAACUGAUUUGUACCGAAAAUGAAAAAUCUGCGGACUCUGCCAAUGACAUGCAGACUGAGGUGGCUCAGACGAAGAGACCAACACCCUCUGAUUCUGAUGCUAAAGAAAUUCAAGGGUCAGGUUUGGUACACGGUUCCACCCAGACCCUCUCACUGGUUAAGAGAGAGGCAGGUAUCAUUUUUAGUGACCCAUUUUCCUCCCUGGAGAUCAACGUGCUGACACCAGAAGAAGCUUUGAUGUUUUUCAGUGGGCAGCUACCACAAGAUAAAGUGAAUGAAGAAGACCUGUUGGAAUUGCCAAUGGAAAUGGACGCGGAGCUGAUUGAGUUGAAAGAUUACUCAGUGGAGGAUAAGUCAUCUGAGAGGGUAGAUGUGAAGUUGACUGAUUUAAAACUCGAAAACAAAGGGGAUGCCCAAUCAGAAGAUUACUGUUGCCUCUCUCGUUGGAUGGCAGUGUUCAGUGGGUCCACCAAUUCUUCGUCCUGCAAAUGCCAAUACGAGACUAAAUUGGGUUCAGCAAAGGCCACUGUGAAUGCGACGCCGUUGGUUGAGGUAACAUUGUCUGUUGAACCCAACACAACAAAAGCAGAACAAAGGGAAUGCCUGCAAUUGUCUAAAUCAAAUGGCACAGCAGAAGAAAAGAGGGAAGAGAAUCCUGUAAAAAAUUUGAAUCCUCAAUCUUGGAAAUCUACAGGCAUUCAAGAAUGCCAAACAAUUGUUUUGUCUGAUAGCAAAUCUGAGACUGCUCGCAUAUACACAAAUUGGGUGAAGAGCUUGCCUUUGUCAAAAGCCCCAGCACUGCAACUCCCCAUCAACCACACAAACAUUGUUGAAAUUGAAGAGGUCUUCUCCCGUUAUGAAGACUUUAUUAAAGUAGACACCCCAAUAUCGGAGAUAGUUUGGGACGAUGUACAGCCAAAGCAGAAACUACCAGGUCUGUUCCAGAAACGUAUAGAAUGUGUACAAGAACUUGGUGUCAUUUUGGAAGAAGGAAACCCUAGAGGUAGUGAAGUCGUUCCUACAGUUCCCAUUCCUACUUCUAAUCUGCAACCCCAACCAACAGACAAAAUCGGUUUCCUUACAUCACUUUCCUUGGCACAAAGAUGUCACAAACAUCUCUCUCCUAAAACAAAUUGUAGCUACAAGGUUAAACAAAAAGGGGUUGGACUCAAGAGAAGAUGUGUUGAAAGUCCGCAUUCAAAUUUGCCUGUCCCAAGAAAGCAAAGGAAAAUGAGGGAUGGAUUAGGUCCCUCCUUUCAACUCGUUCCUGAGGUCAACUUGACUGAUGAUGAUGUUUUUGAGCCCCCCAAUACAACUACUUCUAAAUCUUUGGAAGAAGAGAAACAUUCAAAAGGUAGCAAUCUCCAGAAGCCAACAGAACAUGGAAUUGGGAACAACAUUUGGAGGGUUGGCACAGUAAGUCUAGCCUUGUUUGGUUCCGCGCUCCAGAGGAAAAAUGGGGCUUUAACAACUGACCAACGCAAGGACCAUAAUACUUCUCGAGCAAGACCUUUUGCAGACAAUGCUCCAGCACCUCCUAUAACCCUCAGUGUGAAUGUCAACUCCUGGACCAGUCCUCCAGCGGAAAGCCCAAUCAAACAAUGGAUCUUAAACGAGUGGAAUAAUAGUUUUAUCCCGACAAAGACAAAGUCCAGGGGCAAAGUGUCAAAACUACAAAACAGAAGAGGCUUUGCUCCAAAGAUUAUUUGUGCUGAAAUGGCCAAAAAGACUGUUGCCCUCACCAACACAGAUAGAGGUGCAUUAUCCUCUGAAAGGCGAGCCAAACCAGAAAGAACUGUAAAGGCCAAGCAGACUUUGCGGCGUGUUGAAAGAGAAAGAAUCUUAAACGGCCUGAAACUCGGACCAAAGAAAUCUAGGAUUGAGGCAGUGCCAUCCAGUAUCCCUGAUCUAGUGGAACAAAGUAAAUAUGAGAUCGGAAACCCAGCUCCUUUGCCUCAUGAGCAGAACAGUCUUAUGUUUAGUGUGCUGCCGGAGUCGUUCAACUUCAAAGACGUCAUGGACCCUCCGACACAGACAGGUUCAAUGAAUGACAUGGCUGGUCCGGUUGCUGCGAAGGCUGAGAGUCCUCAGACGAUAGUCCAAAAAUCCCAAGAUUGGUUGUGACCGCUGCCCAGGAUGGUUCCACCAGUCCUGUAUGAAAACCAUCCCAUCAUUGGAGGAUUAUGUCUGCGCUGCCUGUCAGGACUAGUCCUCGUUUUGACACUUGCCUGCCUUGACUCUG
Molecule: long non-coding RNA, 5180 nt
Filed under: Salmo salar (Atlantic salmon)
Lineage: Eukaryota; Metazoa; Chordata; Actinopteri; Salmoniformes; Salmonidae
Description: lncRNA (ENSSSAG00000095508.1)
Source: RNAcentral